CCUACGGGAGGCAGCAGUGAGGAAUAUUGGUCAAUGGGCGCGAGCCUGAACCAGCCAAGUCGCGUGAGGGAAGACGGUCCUAUGGAUUGUAAACCUCUUUUGUCGGGGAGCAAAAGACGCCACGCGUGGCGUUCCGAGAGUACCCGAAGAAAAAGCAUCGGCUAACUCCGUGCCAGCCGCCGCGGUAAUACGGAGGAUGCGAGCGUUAUCCGGAUUUAUUGGGUUUAAAGGGUGCGCAGGCGGAACAUCAAGGCAGCGGUAAAAUUGAGGGGCUCAACCUCUUCGAGCCGUUGAAACUGGUUUUCUUGAGUGAGUGAGAAGUAUGCGGAAUGCGUGGUGUAGCGGUGAAAUGCAUAGAUAUCACGCAGAACUCCGAUUGCGAAGGCAGCAUACCGGCGCUCAACUGACGCUCAUGCACGAAAGUGUGGGUAUCGAACAGGAUUAGAUACCCGGGUAGUC
This 459-nucleotide ribosomal RNA is filed under the name uncultured bacterium. RNAcentral describes it as "partial 16S ribosomal RNA". It matches the Rfam family "Bacterial small subunit ribosomal RNA", at positions 338 to 795 of the family's 1533-position model. The record is from RNAcentral.